Long non-coding RNA from Juglans microcarpa x Juglans regia, 309 nucleotides. RefSeq lists it as uncharacterized. NCBI's taxonomy places the organism in Eukaryota, Viridiplantae, Streptophyta, Magnoliopsida, Fagales, Juglandaceae. The transcript is spliced from 2 exons. The record is from RefSeq and is a predicted model, not a curated record.
UCAAAUGGGCAAAAGAAGAAGAAGAAGAAGAAGAAAGGAGGAUUGUGAAAAAGAGAGGAGGUUGUGGCGGAGGUUUGCCAAAACUGGCUAGAAGCUAAAACAGAUCGUGGUUGUCCAACAGCCUAUUAUGUGAUCAUGGACCCUUGAUCUAAUAAUUCAGCCGCAUCCUCAAUUUUCAGUUCACAUUCCUUUCCAACACUUUGUGCGUAAUCCAAUUACAAACUCAGGACACAAACUUAAGCAUAACCACUCGGAUUAAAAGUACAUUGUAACCAGACACGAUCACAUAAUACAAUGAAUCAUCAUUAA